GGUUCCAUAACUCAGUUGGUUAGAGUGCGAUGCUAAUAACGUCGAAGUCGAGGGUUCGACCCCCUCUGGAACCA
Molecule: transfer RNA, 74 nt
Filed under: Penicillium crustosum
Lineage: Eukaryota; Fungi; Ascomycota; Eurotiomycetes; Eurotiales; Aspergillaceae
Rfam family: tRNA
About the family: Transfer RNA (tRNA) molecules are approximately 80 nucleotides in length.
Source: Rfam by way of RNAcentral